GUGCUCGAUUCGGCAGCGCAUAUACUAAAAUUGGAACGAUACGGAGAAGAUUAGCAUGGCCCCUGCACAAAAUUCCAGCAAAAUGUAUGGGUUGUAUGUAACUUCC
This is a small nuclear RNA of Podarcis muralis (Common wall lizard), 106 nucleotides long. The record is from Ensembl. Lineage: Eukaryota; Metazoa; Chordata; Lepidosauria; Squamata; Lacertidae.